Molecule: ribosomal RNA, 440 nt
Filed under: uncultured bacterium
Lineage: Bacteria
Description: partial 16S ribosomal RNA
Rfam family: Bacterial small subunit ribosomal RNA
Source: RNAcentral
CCUACGGGUGGCAGCAGUGGGGGAUAUUGCACAAUGGGGGGAACCCUGAUGCAGCGACGCCGCGGGUGGGAAGACGGUCCUCUGGAUUGUAAACCACUGUCCCCAGGGACGAAAAUGACGGUACCUGGGGAGGAAGCUCCGGCUAAAUACGUGCCAGCAGCCGCGGUAAUACGUAGGGAGCGAGCGGUGUCCGGAAUUACUGGGUGUAAAGGGAGCGUAGGCGGGGAUGCAAGUUGGGUGUCAAAACUACCGGCUCAACUGGUAGUCGCACUCAAAACUGCAGCUCUUGAGUGAAGUAGAGGCAGGCGGAAUUCCUAGUGUCGCGGUGAAAUGCGUAGAUAUUAGGAGGAACACCAGUGGCGAAGGCGGCCUGCUGGGCUUUUACUGACGCUGAGGCUCGAAAGUGUGGGGAGCAAACAGGAUUAGAUACCCCGGUAGUC